RNAcentral lists this ribosomal RNA (253 nucleotides) under uncultured bacterium. RNAcentral describes it as "partial 16S ribosomal RNA". It matches the Rfam family "Bacterial small subunit ribosomal RNA", at positions 524 to 776 of the family's 1533-position model. The record is from RNAcentral.
UACGUAGGUGGCAAGCGUUGUCCGGAUUUACUGGGCGUAAAGAGCGCGCGAGCGGUCGUUCAAGUCGCGUGUGAAAGCCCCCCGGCUCAACUGGGGAGGGUCACGCGAUACUGAUCGACUCGAAGGCAGGAGAGGGAAGUGGAAUUCCCGGUGUAGUGGUGAAAUGCGUAGAUAUCGGGAGGAACACCAGUGGCGAAGGCGACUUCUCGCCUGUUCUUGACACUCAGGAGCGAAGCGAUGGGAGGCAGACGGG